RNAcentral lists this transfer RNA (88 nucleotides) under Bifidobacteriaceae bacterium. RNAcentral's name for it is "tRNA-Ser". It matches the Rfam family "tRNA". Rfam says of the family: Transfer RNA (tRNA) molecules are approximately 80 nucleotides in length. Their secondary structure includes four short double-helical elements and three loops (D, anti-codon, and T loops). The record is from RNAcentral. Lineage: Bacteria; Bacillati; Actinomycetota; Actinomycetes; Bifidobacteriales; Bifidobacteriaceae.
GGAGGCGUCGCAUAGAGGCCUAGUGCGCCCGCCUGCUAAGCGGGUUGGGGGUGAUACCCCCUCGGGGGUUCGAAUCCCCCCGCCUCCG